GACGAACGCUGGCGGCGUGCUUAACACAUGCAAGUCGAACGGAAAGGCCCUGCUUUUGUGGGGUGCUCGAGUGGCGAACGGGUGAGUAACACGUGAGUAACCUGCCCUUGACUUUGGGAUAACUUCAGGAAACUGGGGCUAAUACCGGAUAGGAGCUCCGGCUGCAUGGGGGGGGUGGGAAAUUUUCGGCGGUUGGGGAUGGACUCGCGGCUUAUCAGCUUGUUGGUGGGGUAGUGGCUUACCAAGGCUUUGACGGGUAGCCGGCCUGAGAGGGUGACCGGCCACAUUGGGACUGAGAUACGGCCCAGACUCCUACGGGAGGCAGCAGUGGGGAAUAUUGCACAAUGGGCGGAAGCCUGAUGCAGCAACGCCGCGUGCGGGAUGACGGCCUUCGGGUUGUAAACCGCUUUCGCCUGUGACGAAGCGUGAGUGACGGUAAUGGGUAAAGAAGCACCGGCUAACUACGUG
Molecule: ribosomal RNA, 468 nt
Filed under: uncultured bacterium
Lineage: Bacteria
Description: partial 16S ribosomal RNA
Rfam family: Bacterial small subunit ribosomal RNA
Source: RNAcentral